Small nuclear RNA from Nyctereutes procyonoides (raccoon dog), 104 nucleotides. Lineage: Eukaryota; Metazoa; Chordata; Mammalia; Carnivora; Canidae. The record is from RefSeq and is a predicted model, not a curated record.
GUGCUUGCUUCAGCAGCAUAUAUACUAAAAUUGGAAUGAUACAGAGAUUAGCAAGGCCCUUGUGCAAGAAUGACAUGUAAAUUCAUGAAACAUUCCAUAUUUUA